This 253-nucleotide ribosomal RNA is filed under the name uncultured bacterium. RNAcentral describes it as "partial 16S ribosomal RNA". It matches the Rfam family "Bacterial small subunit ribosomal RNA", at positions 524 to 776 of the family's 1533-position model. The record is from RNAcentral.
GACAGAGGGUGCAAACGUUGUUCGGAAUUACUGGGCGUAAAGCGUGUGUAGGCGGCCGCGCAAGUCGGAUGUGAAAGCCCCGGGCUCAACCCGGGAAGUGCACCCAAUACUGCAUGGCUCGAGUACUGGAGAGGUUGGUGGAAUUCUCGGUGUAGAGGUGAAAUUCGUAGAUAUCGAGAGGAACACCGGUGGCGAAGGCGGCCAACUGGACAGAUACUGACGCUGAGACACGAAAGCGUGGGGAGCAAACAGG